Vicia villosa (hairy vetch) is the source of this 2878-nucleotide long non-coding RNA. RefSeq lists it as uncharacterized. The record is from RefSeq and is a predicted model, not a curated record. NCBI's taxonomy places the organism in Eukaryota, Viridiplantae, Streptophyta, Magnoliopsida, Fabales, Fabaceae. The transcript has 3 exons.
AAAGUCAUUCGUCUCUCUCAUCUGAUUACCAUGAUUUCCACUUCUCUCUCUCUCUCUCGUGUUCUCUUUUCUAUCUCUUUUUUCUCUAAAGCCCUAAAACCACCGCCGCCACCCUUUCCGCCUCUAUUAUCGACGAACACCACCUCCGAUGAAAAAUCAAAGCCAUUUUCGUACUAUUCGUCCCAUGGACUUCCUAAUGAACUGGUCGGAAUUUCGUUUCCAACAACCUCGCCUCGGAUACUGUUACUCACCGUCGACCAGUUGGUUCACCAAACUCCGACCCAGCGUCACGCUUUUCACUCAAAAAAAUCAAUCUUCUGAUUUUUUUGUUAUUGUUUCUAUUUUUUUUGAAGCAGCUUAAGAGAGAACUGAAGACUCAAGCUUCUUGCUCAAUGGAAGAGAAAGAGAGGGGAAAUUCUACGAAAGCAGCAACUAUAUUAGAAACUUCAUUGAAGAUGUCUGCAACAAAGCUCCUGUUGAAACUUAUAUAACGACAUCCCUCCCUCUACUCCGAUAUACAGGGUAUGCUGUCAUUCAUGGAGAUUUUAAAAAUUGCAUCUGAACUUUUUCUUUCAUGAUUUUUUGUUCUGUUUCUGUUAUGAUUUUAUAAAGCUAUUAAUGGUUGAAGGAAUUGUUUGGUUUGUUGCAGAUAAUUGAUAGGAUUUAUGUUCUUAUUUAUGAAAUGACAUUAGCUUUCUGCUUGGUAUCAGAUCCUAUGUUAUAUCCCUUGCUCCCAUCUCUAUAUUUUCUUAGUUUAGAACUUUGAUUUGUUGAGCGAGAUUAUGUUUCAUUUAAUUGUUCGCUGAACAAUUUAUAUGUUUCAGGUAUUACUUUAUUGUUCAAUGGACCACCAGAGGCUCGAAAGCCAGAUAUUAAAUGGAUGCUCUAUAUUUUCAAGAUUGGUGAAAUGUUGAAUGGUAAUCUUUUGUUCCCGCUGCUUAAAUUUUACAAAUUCAUUUUUUAAGGUUAAUCAUGUGUUGUACUAUUGAUUUUGUGUUACUGCUAAGGUUGAUUUCUUAUUGCUCUGUCCUACCAUCUUACUAAUGCAGUAUUUAGAUGUAGUCUUUGUUAUCACCAAUAUAUAUAUAUAUAUAUAUAUAUAUAUAUAUAUAUAUAUAUAUAUAACUUCCCCUGGAAAGUGAUACUUUUCAUGCAAUAGGCCUUACAUAAUCGACCUUGGAAGCACAAACAAAACUUCUGUUCAUGUUAGUGGUCAUUGAAUGUCUUUGAUUAGUUUCUUUGUAAUUUUCAUUUGACGUAGUAGCAAGUAGUGAGCUUAAGUUGGAUGUGAGUUAUUUAUCAUCUGAUACUGCUUCUGCAAGAUAAUCCCAUUGAACCUCGACGAUAUUUUGAACUUAGGGAGCAAGACACUAUUAAAUUUGGUAAUAGCAGGUAAGUGACAAGUAGAUGUUAGUUGUUUUUCAUCUACUAUGGUGUUUCAAUCAUUGGUUUGUGUCAUGUCUAGGAUCUAGCUUUUUGCCUCCCCUAAAAUGUUAUAUUAUAUAUUAUAAGAAUAACCAGCCAUAUUGAACUAUGGGAUGCUAUGUAAUUGUUUGUGGAGGUUGCUAAUUAGACUUCAAUUCAAAAUAGCCUUUCUCUAUCCUUUCUUUUCUUCUACAACAACUACAUGUGUUUGUAUUUAUUACUUAUACUCUUUGGUCUAAUUAAUUUUCUGUGAAUGUUUAAAAGUUUAUCCAAAUAGCCUUUUUUUCUUUGACAUGGAGAAUUAAUUUUAUGAGACCAUGUUUUUAUGAUCCAGCUGAGAAUAGAGCCAAGUUUUUAUGAGUUCAGAGUCAUGAGAGAUUCAGUUCGAUACAACUCAAGAACCAGAAAUUUCUGAUAUGUUGGUACCAAAACAUGCUGCUACAAAGGGUGCAAGGACCAAGAACGCCAGGCACAACAAAACUAAAUGAUGUUCUAAACCAUGACCUUGCUAACAGCCAGAUCUUUAUUUUGAUGCUUAUUUAACACCUUGCUUUUGUUAAGGCUUUUUAGAUGUCCACCUCUACUUUGAACACUCUUAAAAUGCCUAAUUAAAAACAUAAGUUUCAAUGUCAACUUAUUUUGUAAUAAAUAUUCCAUUUAGUUGGAAACAUGUUUAUUGAUAUGUCAAUCCUUUCUAUUAAAAUUGUUAUUAAAUUAUUUAUGAUCAAGUUUAACCCUUUAAUCAUUAUGCUCAAUCAUAAUUAUAUCUCAUUCCUAUUUAUUACUGCCAUAAUGUUGAUUCUGGUUUCUAUAAUUACAGUGACCAUUAUAUGAACCGGUUGAACCUCAUUCCUAUUUUGUUUAUAUAACCCAAGAGAAGAGAAGGAAACCACAAAUUCUAUAAGCCAUUUCAAAUAUUUGAAGUAUGACACUUCAUAAAUCCUUUUAAAUAAAGUGACGUGUAAAUUUUGCGAAUGUCAAAGCAAUAGUGAUCAUCUACAAGGGAGAAAGUGACGUGUUUGUAUACACCGGAGCUACUGUGAUCAUUUGUUUGUUUGUAAUACAUGAGCCUAAAAUAUCCAGAUAUACAUUGUUGAUUACUUUGAAUGGGAUGGGGAAAAGCGUGGAUGUCUUUAGAUGGUGUAUUUCAAUAUAUCUCAGAUAUAAUUUACAUCUCAACUUAAAUUUUUUUAGUUAUUCUAAUUAGUUUAUUCAUGUAUAAAUCUAGGAUGUGAGGCCAUGUUCGUUGAUUCUGCACUAAUGGUCUGGACUUCAAAAUCCAGACUAAAAUGAAUUGGGGCAGAAUGCAUUCAUGCAAGUACCAUAAUCCUCAAAUGACUAAAAUUCACACCAAAUCUUAUUAAGAACAAACAUUACAUUUAUAUUGAAUGUAUUCGGAUGUAGCAUAACUAUUACCUGUUAAAGAAAUGAAUGCAUCACAAAUUAAAAAGAC